GUGAGAAAAACACGGAGUACCCCACAAAUGUCGCCUUGUGCAGGAGCCAUGCCGGUCUUCUUUGUUUUGUUCCAAUUUCACUGUUUGUGCUGCAGAAGCAGAUAUGGAAAUGGGAAUUUUUGUAUGAUGUUUAGGCAUCUGAGAAGGCAACCACGGUACGAAUCUUGGGAUUUCCUGAAGUCUUUCUUCAAAUCUCUCUUCAGGUCUGCAAGCGGUCUGUGGUUGGACAUACAGCCUCUUCAUUUUCUUCUGCAUACAAAUGUGUGGACAAAGCAGAGACAAUCAAGGUCCAGCCAGCUCUCAGCCCUCCCUCAGUCAGCACCCAGCCAGACUUGAAACCCAGCUUGCCUUGGGAUUGAGUGUAGUCGUGCUUUUAACAGAGCUCUGCCGAAAGGAGUGUGUCGAGAAUAGAAAGGCAGUGUUUGGGGCUGGCCUGGCUCGUAUACUCCUCUCUGUUGUCUGACUGGGAGGCUGACGAGUCGUCUGCUGAAGAUGGAGGGACCUGGAUAUGGAAAUAACAGGAGCAGACAUUGGUGCCUUACACACCGCGGUGAAGGCGAAUGGUAGCCAUUGCUGCUUUCGGCACACCUUGUUUUUUCGCCAGUUCUGAAAGUGACACAGAGGAUGACAAAAGCUCGGAUUGCAGAAGAUGGAUGAAAGCCAUUUUAACUAGCACAACAGUUUGCGGCUACGAGAACGGCUCCGUGAGUGUAGAAGCCGCUCCUCACCAACCAUGCGGUCACGAUGCAUCUAACGAGACUGGGCACUAAUGGCCCUGGGAACAAUGAGGCAAAUUACCAAGUUCCACUAAAAUGUUUCUCCACUUAUCUUCAAUUAUUCAGACCCAAUCUAAUUUCCUUCAAAAUUAAAUGCGGUGGCUCCAGUUAACUUGUGCGACUGAACGUUUAACAACUGUCCCUGCACGUGACUUUGCUGAGAAAGGACGGGCAGGCUACUCCACAUCGGCUCUGAAACACAGCAGUUCCCUGGACAUGUUAAGACAGCGGGUCACAGAAGGCGCAUAGCUGGGCAUUGUCCCCGAAUGCUAAGACUUAAGGAGUCUCUAAACUACCCUCUUCCCAACUGUGCUGCCCUCCAGCCAUCUAACCGCUUCUUCAGCAGCUACCCCAAGCUCCUGGCCACUUUUGUCUAAACCACUAGGUACCUGGACACAGACAAAGCAAAGACCUGAGGUGAAAGUCUGGGAGGACAGAGCACUUAGGAGUAACAUGCACAUUCGGUUUUCACAGGCAGCUGUCACAGAGCUGUCACCCACAGCUGGAUGUCGGGGAGGGGGGCGCACUUCUGGGAUCUACAUCCAGGAGCCAGGCACAGCUAGUUGUCAGGGAAGAACGGUGAAUAGCUUGGUGCUCCUCCCAGCUGGGCUUCUGUGGACGUUAGGGGCCACUGACCUGAGUGCCUCCUAGUUCUCCUCUCCUUCUUUAUCUCCUGUUGCUUUUUCUGUAACCUGCUCUUUCCUGGUCUCUUUGUUGCCCUCUGGGGUCCCAGCUGCAUUAUCAUCUGUCUUUGGAAAAAUUGCAUUUAGUAGAACCAGAACUGUCCCAUUUAAUAGUGUUCCCGUGGGAACAACCCGCCUUAAUGAAGUUAUGAGUGUUUUGGGUGGUGUGACUUUUUCUUCAGAGGGCAUGAGUUGAUCUCAUCAGAAGGGACGAUCUACUUGUUUUAGUCUUCAAAGGCCUGUGCAGCCCUCACACGCAGCCAUUUCUCUGCUUUCUAUGGAAGAGGCCCACACUAAAUGAAUAAUUGCAAGUCAUUUGGCAUUAGAUUAACAUUAUGAUUUAUUUUAUCAAUUGCUAUUAGUUUGUACUUGCAGUAUUUCCCUAGAGUACACAACAAACUCUUCUAAGUCCAACUAGAGACACCUAGGGCUGGAGAUGAAGCCAAAGGGAAAUGAAGACCGUUCCCAAAGUAAAAAAUUCAACAUGCAGUCAGUCAGUACGCACUGCUGUCUUCCUGUAGCCAGCCAAAGAGAGUUUCGAGGGUUUUGGUGUGGAGGUGCCAGCUUGUAACCCCGACUCAGGAUCCAGGGCACAAGAUUGCCUUUAGUUCAGACCCAGGCGUGUCACCCUAAGAAGCCCAGCAAGGGCUGCACAGCAAGACCUCAUCUGAGAAAACAGACAAACAAACAAAGAAAACCAGAGGAAACAGCAUAAAGAAUUGGGGAGGACCAGCAGCCCUGGCUUCCCGCUGGACGUACUGUGCCUUUUGGUGGCCAAAUGCCCUUUGUCCAGUGUGGAACUUUGUCAACCAUGGCCACUGCUGUGAUGGCUCACAGUGUGCCAAGAACAAUACUUAAGACCUCUACAGGGUUUAUCUCAUUUAACCCCCAUGGGACCUGCUGUGUCUGUUUUCAAGAGGAGGUUCAGAGAGGUUGAUUAUCCCACCCAAAGUCACAUGACCUCUCGUGACCUCAGCUUUGAAGAUCUGCUGCCUGUCUUCUUCUUCCUCUUCCUUCUUCUUCUGCCCUUCUGGUUUUCUGAGACAAGGUCUUACCUGUAGCCCAGGCUGUCCUGGAACUCACUAUGUAGACCAGGUUGGUCUCAAACUCUCCUGGGUGCUGGAAUCAAAGGCGUGCCACCAUGCCCAGCUGCUUGCGGCUUGUGUUCCUAAAUCACCCUCCCUCCCCCACACCAUUGCCUCUGGUGAAGACCGACUGUCAGGCCACGAUUUCUUUGUAGAAAAAUAAACUGGGAACUUCUGGGCAUUUAAAAAGUGGAUCUGAGUGCCACGUUGGAUGUGAAGAAAGCCAGAGUUGUUAUGGUUGUGUUCCCCGGCCUGAGAAAUGAACUGGCUCCUUUCACCAGGACGGUCUGAGGAACAAUGAAGCUACAAACGACAGCGUUUUGUAACACGAAAAAUAAAAGACCCAGAGACUGAUAUUGGGGUUCAAGCUUCAAGCUGAAGAUCAGAAAAACAAAGCAACUGGCCACUAGCUCUCACCUCUAGCUCAGGCUGAAAGGGCUGAUCCACAUACGAGCUCUUCACCAAGUCUCAAACUGCUGCCUCUCCUCAGCGUGGCUGGA
RNAcentral lists this long non-coding RNA (3044 nucleotides) under Cricetulus griseus (Chinese hamster). RNAcentral describes it as "lncRNA (ENSCGRG00015030440.1)". The record is from RNAcentral. Lineage: Eukaryota; Metazoa; Chordata; Mammalia; Rodentia; Cricetidae.